Non-coding RNA from Triticum aestivum (bread wheat), 125 nucleotides. The record is from Rfam. NCBI's taxonomy places the organism in Eukaryota, Viridiplantae, Streptophyta, Magnoliopsida, Poales, Poaceae.
UUCAUACUCCCUCCGUCCGGAAAUACUAGUCAGAGAAAUGCAUAAAAAUGAAUGUAUCUAGAACUAAAAUACAUCUAGUUACAUUCAUUCCUCCGACGAGUAUUUCCGGACGGAGGGAGUACAAU